UAGGGAAUAUUGCACAAUGGGGGAAACCCUGAUGCAGCGACGCCGCGUGAGUGAUGAAGGACUUCGGUUUGUAAAGCUCUGUUGUCUGGGAAUAAAUAAAUGAAUGUACCAGACGAGAAAGGGACGGCUAACUUCGUGCCAGCAGCCGCGGUAAUACGAAGGUCCCAAGCGUUGCUCGGAAUCAUUGGGCGUAAAGCGGGCGCGGGUGGCCUCUUAAGUCAAGAGUGAAAGCCCAGGGCUUAACCCUGGAAGUGCUUUUGAUACUGGGAGGCUUGAGUGUGGGAGAGGGUGCUAGAAUACCUAGUGUAGUGGUGAAAUACGUAGAUAUUAGGUGGAACACCGGUGGCGAAGGCGGGUGCCUGGCCCAACACUGACACUUAGGCCCGAAAGCGUGGGGAUCAAACAGG
This 407-nucleotide ribosomal RNA is filed under the name uncultured Bdellovibrio sp. Its description in RNAcentral is "bacterial SSU rRNA". It matches the Rfam family "Bacterial small subunit ribosomal RNA", at positions 355 to 776 of the family's 1533-position model. The record is from RNAcentral. Lineage: Bacteria; Pseudomonadati; Bdellovibrionota; Bdellovibrionia; Bdellovibrionales; Pseudobdellovibrionaceae.